Molecule: long non-coding RNA, 2382 nt
Organism: Chenopodium quinoa (quinoa)
Lineage: Eukaryota; Viridiplantae; Streptophyta; Magnoliopsida; Caryophyllales; Amaranthaceae
Exons: 5
Source: RefSeq, a predicted model, not a curated record
ACAAACAGAAUCUGACCCCUUUCAAAUAAGUUAAUUCAAGUACACCUAUAUGUACAGUCCAAAAGCAUACACCAAAAAAUAAAGUAGGAUUUUUUUUGCAUAAACUCUUAGAGGAGAGAGAGUAGGAGAGUAACAGAAAUGGCUUCAGCAGUAGUUUCAAGCUCAAGCAGCAGAUAUCCAUGGAAGCAGCAAACCAUAAAAACUUCAUUUUUCUGUCACCAGUCAAAUCCAUUCAUUUCUCUCUCAUUUCCUCAUCCACCUUCUAAGCCAUCCAACAGAUUCGUGUACCUUUGUAGGACUCCCGCCAAUCAAACUACUCCGCCGAAGGCGCUUUCGGCUUCUCAGCCAAUCAAAUCUCCGGAUAUUAAUAACUUCAACCUGUUAUUCCAAAGCCAAUCAUUUUUCACCUCCAAUAAAUUUCGCGCCAUUAUUUUGGUCAUUACUAUUGUUUAUGUGUUGGUUUAAUUUCGGACAAUGGCUAAGAUGCAUUCUGUUUACUUGAAUCUAGUGGGUCUCCGCCUAGUGUUGGUGAUCUUUUUAACCUUCUGAGUGCGAUUUUUUUUGGUGUCCAUAUGUUGAAGACUCGGCAAAUUUCAAGAACCACCACAAAGGAGAAAUUCAUACCACUCCUUGGAAUUGAGGUUAAGAGCCUUGAAGAAGAUUUCAAAUUUUACGUUUGGGCUUGAGUGUUUCAAUUCCUACUUUCCUAGGCAUCCAAAUUUUUAAUAAAAUGCAACUUUUUUUUAUUGCACUUGUUGAUAUCUUUGCCUGUUCUCUGAGCAGUUCUGAGGUUUCAUCCAGGUAUGUGUUGUUGCAGUCUCAUCAAUCACCUGGUUCUUAUUCGAAGGCUGGUUUGGUGAAAGUCAUAGACCUUGGACAUGGGAAUUGUUUUGGGCUUCAUGGGUCUCGUUUCCUUGGAUACCAGCAAUAUACACAGGAGUGUUCUCCAGAAUAUGCUUAUGGGUAGAGAUGGCUGCAGUGCAGGAAGUAUCAGCAACUGAAGCAGCUAUUAUUUACGGACUGGAACCAAUUUGGGGAGCUGGCUUUGCUUGGUUCCUUCUUGGUGAAAGAUGGGGUAUUUAUGGAUGGAUUGGUGCUGCUCUUGUCCUUGGUGGAAGCCUAAUUGCCCAAAUGUUUGGAUCUUUGUCAUCUACUGAUUCUGGAGAUUCUGAGCAGUGAACAAGAAUCAGCAUCGAGUUGAGUUGUUAAGCAGUGAAAUCAAAUCAGCACGAAAAAGUUGAUAAUGUGGCUACUUUUGUGCAAUAUCUGUAUAAAUUUCCUCGCGUCCCUCCCCAUCUUUAAUUUUCUUAACAUUGUUGAUGUGUACAUAAAAUCUGGAUAUUGAGAAGCCCUUUGGCAUGGCCGUGUACAUAAUUAUCUUAAACAUAAUCAUAUAUUCAUAUGAAGUGUACGCUUACUGUAAAGCCGUGUUGCAGGCACUCUUUUGAUUUUUAAGUUUGGCGUCUAUUUCAAAUAUUUCUGGUUGGUACUUUUGAACAAUUACAUUUUGCAAGAUGAUUUUUAAAAGGAUAGAAACAAUAAGGGGGAAAUUUUGUGAAGAACUACCAUGAGAACAACAACCAUUUAAAACUUUUUUUAAAAAAAAACUACCACAAAAACAUAAAAAGUUUAAAUAGCACUACCUUAUCAAGUUUUCCGGCUAGAAUCUUCGGUCAUGGGGCCCUAAUCUCUUCAUUUCAAUCGAUUCAGGGUGAGAGAAGAAGCAAAAUUGUUUGCCAAACUCAAUUGUUUGACAUUUGCUACUAGGGAAAACACCUCGCUUCACAUUUGCUACCGGUUUAAUUAAUUUAUUUAUUUAUUUAUUAUUUUUUUUUUAACUUUGCUACCACCUAAAAUAGCGUUUGUUAAAAAUCACUACCACUUAACGGAAUCCUAAUUCCGUUAAGUUUAUUCUAAAAUUUUUUUUAAAAAAAAAACAAAAACAAAACAAAAAAAUCAGCCACCCAAAACAUCUUGCUUCUCCCAUUAGCUGUAACACCCUAGAAAUUCCUUUCCUUAAAAUACCUCUUUUACCCUUUUGAAAAUACGAAUUAGGAAUAUCUAAGACAAUACCGCCACCGUAAAAACGGCUAAAGCAACUAUCAAAGAUACACAGCGGAAGACUUAAAAAUCAAAACCAUUCAAAAUAAAGUCAACUUAAAAGUCAACAAACGAAAGUAAAGUUUUAAAACCAAAACCAACGAAGUCAAUUAAAAUCAAACUACAACUUGGAGCCAUUAAAGACCCUUAUUCAAACCAAACCCAAACAAAUCCAAAUCCAAAUCCUUGCGUUAGUCCACAUAUAAAAUAACACCAUAAAUAUUCAAUGCAUAAAGCACAUCGUAAACUAAUAGAAACUAGCAUGAUUCGCUCUUCACUCAU